GAUCCGCAAGAGUCGGCCCGGGGAAUUCAGCCUAGCAAAGCCGGGAGCUGCCGGGGACCAAUUGCCGAUCCCUUCUGAGGGACGGACGGACCCCGGCUCGGCGACCGGUGCGAAGGUGCACUUUCUCCGGCGUCGAGCGCCACGACCGGUUCGGCGGCGGUCAGAAGCCCGGCGGGAAGGUAGCCCGUCUCUCUCGUAGAGCACGGGUGUUACAGCCCGUCCGUGUGCGGACCCGCUGCUGGACCGAGGACGCCCGCCGCGAGACGCGGCCCCGGAGGUCUUGCCUCGCGCUGUCGACUUCGGCUGCACUGGACGCAGUGCGCCGUAACUGCGUGCGUUGCAUGGAUGCCGGGUGCCUGUUUUGCUAAGGGUCAGUGGCGAAUCGGUCGGUCCCCACCCGACCCGUCUUGAAACACGGACCAAGGAGUCUAACAUGUGCGCGAGUCACAGGGUCUACCGAAACCCGAAGGCGCAAUGAAAGUAAAGGGGGAGCUCUGUCUCCCCCGUGAAGGCAAGAUCCCGAGCUUCGGCGAGGGCGCACUGCCGGCCCGUCUCUAUGCGGCAUCGUCCGCGAGGCGGAGCUAGAGCGCACACGUUGGGACCCGAAAGAUGGUGAACUAUGCCUGAGUAGGACGAAGUCAGGGGAAACUCUGAUGGAGGUCCGUAGCGAUUCUGACGUGCAAAUCGAUCGUCAAACUUUGGUAUAGGGGCGAAAGACUA
This 720-nucleotide ribosomal RNA is filed under the name Gastrochaenidae sp. UF426031. Its description in RNAcentral is "eukaryotic LSU rRNA". The stretch from base 419 to 720 matches the Rfam family "Eukaryotic large subunit ribosomal RNA", at positions 665 to 933 of the family's 3401-position model. Lineage: Eukaryota; Metazoa; Mollusca; Bivalvia; Gastrochaenida; Gastrochaenidae. The record is from RNAcentral.